AUGCAUAUAUCAGCACAAGCCGAAAGGCAAAGUCGCUAGAAGCUCAUUACAGCAGUCGCGGUUUACUAGACAGUGAAUUUUGGAUAACUGUGSUAGUUUAGAGCUGAUACAUUUUCAAAGCCCGGACUUCGGAAUGGGCGAAUUUUAUUAGAACAAAGCCAAUCAGACGAAUGUUUUGAGUACCAAGUGGAGGGCAAGUCUGGUGCCAGCAGCCGCGGUAAUUCCAGCUCCACUAGUUUGUGUCACCGGUUGCGGUUAAAAAGCUCGUAGUUGGAUCUAAGGCUGUGAAUAGUCGUCCCCCAAUGGGGUUGUACUGCUACUUCAGGUCUGUUCUGUCGGUUGGUUCGCAGUGUCCUUAACUGGAUGUUGUGCGCUGCUGGCAAUUAAAGCAAAUAUUGCUCGAAUAGUUGUGCAUGGAAUAAUACAAUAGGGCCUUGGCUCUGUUUUGUUGGUUUUAGGAGCACGAGGCAAUGAUUAAGAGAAACAGACGGGGGCAUCUGUAUUGCGACGUUAGAGGUGAAAUUCUUGGAUCGUCGUAAGACAAACAACUGCGAAAGCAUUUGCCAAGAAUGA
Molecule: ribosomal RNA, 573 nt
Filed under: Halalaimus sp. 2 TJP-2019
Lineage: Eukaryota; Metazoa; Nematoda; Enoplea; Enoplida; Oxystominidae
Description: SSU rRNA
Rfam family: Eukaryotic small subunit ribosomal RNA (bases 85-573)
Source: RNAcentral